This 497-nucleotide ribosomal RNA is filed under the name uncultured bacterium. Its description in RNAcentral is "partial 16S ribosomal RNA". It matches the Rfam family "Bacterial small subunit ribosomal RNA", at positions 28 to 507 of the family's 1533-position model. The record is from RNAcentral.
GACGAACGCUGGCGGCGUGCCUAAUACAUGCAAGUUGAGCGCUGAAGGUUGGUACUUGUACCAACUGGAUGAGCAGCGAACGGGUGAGUAACGCGUGGGGAAUCUGCCUUUGAGCGGGGGACAACAUUUGGAAACGAAUGCUAAUACCGCAUAAAAACUUUAAACACAAGUUUUAAGUUUGAAAGAUGCAAUUGCAUCACUCAAAGAUGAUCCCGCGUUGUAUUAGCUAGUUGGUGAGGUAAAGGCUCACCAAGGCGAUGAUACAUAGCCGACCUGAGAGGGUGAUCGGCCACAUUGGGACUGAGACACGGCCCAACCUCCUACGGGAGGCAGCAGUAGGGAAUCUUCGGCAAUGGACGAAAGUCUGACCGAGCAACGCCGCGUGAGUGAAGAAGGUUUUCGGAUCGUAAAACUCUGUUGGUAGAGAAGAACGUUGGUGAGAGUGGAAAGCUCAUCAAGCGACGGUAACUACCCAGAAAGGGACGGCUAACUACGUG